Molecule: ribosomal RNA, 255 nt
Filed under: uncultured bacterium
Lineage: Bacteria
Description: partial 16S ribosomal RNA
Rfam family: Bacterial small subunit ribosomal RNA
Source: RNAcentral
UACGUAGGUGGCAAGCGUUGUCCGGAUUUAUUGGGUUUAAAGGGUGCGUAGGCGGUCUAUUAAGUCAGUGCUGAAAUAUCCCGGCUUAACCGGGAGGGUGGCAUUGAUACUGAUGGACUUGAGUGCAGUCGAGGUAGGCGGAAUUGACGGUGUAGCGGUGAAAUGCUUAGAUAUCGUCAAGAACACCGAUAGUGAAGACAGCUUACUAGACUGUAACUGACGCUGAGGCACGAAAAGUGUGGGGAUCAAAACAGG